Molecule: long non-coding RNA, 329 nt
Filed under: Physcomitrium patens
Lineage: Eukaryota; Viridiplantae; Streptophyta; Bryopsida; Funariales; Funariaceae
Description: long non-coding RNA (PPAT_LNC010956)
Source: RNAcentral
GAGUCAUUCUCUUUGCUAAACUACAAUCAGAUUUCAGCAUUCAAUCUUUCUUCUUCUCAAAUAAUACCAAUCAUAUUUCCAUUCCAUAAUUCACUUCACAAUAUUCAAAAACUUUCAAUCCUCUUAUUCAAAGAAAAUAACAAACAAAAGAAAAGAGGUAGCACCAAGCUUACCCCGGCUCACAACUCUCACGGUCUGACCCUCGGCUUACAACUCUCACAGUCUGGCCCUCGGCUUACAACUCUCACAGUCUGGCCCUCGGCUCACAACUCUCACAGUCUGGCCCUCGGCUUAUAACUCUCACAGUCUGGCCCUCGGCUCACAACUCU